CUUCCUAAUUCAAUAAUUCUCUCCAUUAAUGAGUAGAAACUAGACCCAUAGGCUACAAGUGAAGAGUUUCAGCUUUAUCAUAACACUAUUGAUUCUCCUUCUUUCAUGUCAGUUACUUUUCCACAUAAAAUUCCAAGAGGUUUGUGGCUCAGAACCUGUUCAGCUCCAUCUUUCCAAAUAAUUUGAAGAAGGAAACAGAAGGAGAUAUUAAUCUUCCAUUCCACCAAUAUAACCAAGACCCUCUAAGGAGAGGAGACGUACCCAUUCAUUGUCUCAUUUAACCAGCUAUUUUCCACAACAAAUUUGUGCUUAGCAAGGAACCAAGGGGAUUAAUUUGUACUACUUGAGCCCUGUUCUUCAUCUUUCCUGAAGAAGAAACCUGGGAGUAGCUUAUAUGGAGCUUCUAGGGCCAAUUUUCGAAGUGGUAAAGUGCUUUGGGGGUCCAGCCUAUAGAUCCAUUAGUCAUCAUCGGAAACUUAAGGAAAAUGUGAAUGAUCUUAAAAGAAAAGUGAAUGAUCUAAAUAUUCGAAAGCAAGACCUUGAAUUCAGAAAGGAAGCAGAUAUUCGUUGCAGAAGAGUGGUGAAGAAAGAAGUGGAGAAAUGGUUUGAAGAUUUAGAACGGAUAAAUAUUGAACUUCAAAUGAUUGAAGAGAAAUUGCGUGUUGUUUCAUACUUCUCACGUGCACGCCUAGGGAAAUUUGUUUGCCAGAAGAUUGAAGAAGCAAAGGAAAUUUAUCAACGAGGUAAUUUCCCUGAGGGUGUAACAAUUGAUGGGCCUCCAGCUACAGGGGUGACAUUUCUCACAACAAAACUAGAAGGUGAAAUCGAUGUAAAGGAACAAAUUUGGGAAAAUUUAAUGGGUGACGAGGUUGGCAUGAUUGGAGUAUGUGGUAUGGGUGGAAUGGGAAAAACUACCAUCAUGAAGCAUAUCAAUAAUCAAUUGUUGAAGGAAAAUCAGUUUGAUGCAGUGAUUUGGGUCACCGUAUCUAGAGAAUUCAAUGCUGUCAAAUUACAAGGAGAUAUUGCAUGUGCUUUAGAAUGCUGUCUUCCAGAAAAUAAGUUGCAAUGGGCAACUGUAUUAAUGGAAGUCUUGGAAAGAAAGAGAUAUGUGUUGAUCUUAGAUGAUGUUUGGGAACGGUUUUCUCUAUUGGAUGUGGGAAUCCCGGAACCAACAUUACAUAAUGGGAGCAAAGUGAUAAUCACUAGUAGAUCAAUUGAGGUUUGUAAUUCUAUGGGUUGUAAGGUGUUUAAAGUGCAGCCUCUUUCGCAGAAGGUGUCAUUGAACUUAUUUUUGAAUCUGGUGGGGGAUAGGGUUCUACAACAUCCAACUGUAAAGGAAAUUGCAAACCUUAUUGUUGACGAAUGUGGUGGUUUACCGCUUGCCAUUGUGACUAUAGCUAGUAGCAUGAGAGGAGUGGACGAUACUUGCGAGUGGAGGAAUGCACUAAAUGAAUUACGUGAAAGGGUUAAAAGUGUGAAAGGGUUAGAUAUUGAAAUAUUUGAGCGUAUGAAAUUCAGUUAUGAUCGUUUGAAAGAUUCAAAAAUUCAAAAUUGUUUCUUAUAUUGUUCCUUGUAUCCUGAAGAUUAUCACAUUGUGGAAGAAGAGUUGAUUGAAAAAUGGAUAGAUGAGGAUCUCAUUGAUGAAUUAGAAACUAGACAGGCAAUGCAAGACAGAGGUCGCGCUAUUUUAAAUAAGCUUGUAAAUAAUUGCUUGUUAGAGAGGGUGAUGACUUACAAUGUUAAGGAAGAAGUGAAGGUGCAUGAUGUUCUAAGAGACAUGGCAUUGUCUAUUAUAAGAGGGUGUCAUCACUUUAUGGUUCAAGCUGGUAUGCAAUUAGUGGAGUUACCAAGUGAGCAUAAAUGGAAAGAGAAUCUUGAGAAGGUUUCCUUGAUUCACAAUUACAUAUCACAAGUUCCUCAGAUAUCACCGAAAUGCCUUAAUUUGUCAACCUUGUUAUUGCAAGAAAAUCAUAGUCUCAAAAGAAUUCCAGAAUCUUUCUUUGACCACAUGCAUGGGCUAAAAGUUCUAGAUCUUUCGGAUACUGGCAUUUAUGAUCUGCCCAAUUCCAUUUCUAACUUGGAAAAUCUAACUGCACUUGUCCUUCGAAGGUGUAGCAGUUUAAGAUACGUGCCUUCAUUAGCCAAGCUUACAGCCUUGAGAAAGUUGGAUCUUUUUGAUACAAUUAUUGAGGAGGUCCCUCGUGGUAUAGAAAUGUUAGAAAGCCUCACAUAUCUUGAUUUAUAUUCAAGGAAUCUAAAGGAACUACCAACGGAAAUUCUAUUAAGGCUUUCUAAUCUCCAAUACUUGAAAACUUGGAUGAAUAGAAGAGGAGAGGAAGUAGCCAAACUAAGGAAGCUGGAGAUUCUUCUAGGAUUCUUUUGUGAAAUACAAGACUUUGAGAGAUAUGCCAAGUCUUUAUUGGGUCAAGGGCCCUCCAAAUACUGGCUUGGAGUUGGAUCACCUACUUUGGGCAACAUCAGGAGCCAUCCUUGGUGUUCUCAUCUUGAGGAUGUCGAAGUUGACAAAAAGGUAUGUUUUAUUAAUUGCGAGAUAGGGAAAGAAGAUCUUGUGGUGCUCCCAAAUUGCGUUAGGACUCUGACUGUUGAGGCAUGUCAUGAUCUCAAAAGCUUGAGCAAUAUUUCUUUGUGCCGUAAAGCAAAUGAGUUGAAGACAUGUACUAUUAGUUGGUGUAAAGGAAUAAAGUGCAUGGUUGAUUUGUCGUUAUCAUCUUGCAAUUCAUUGCAGAACAUUGAGGUUCUACGUCUUCGAUGUUUGUCCAACUUGCAAGAACUUGUGAAAGGAAGAGUAGCAGCUGUCUCUACAUCUCACACUCCAGCACCGCCUGCCAUCUUCUCUUCUCUUAGGAAAUUUCAUUUGUUUCGUUGUUCAAGUAUAAAGAAUUUGUUUUCAGUUCAGCUGUCGCGGGGCUUGCAAAACUUAGAGUACAUUGAAGUUAAUCGCUGUGAGAAGAUGGAGAAAAUAAUCGCAUCAGAAGCAGAGGAAGAAAAUCACAAAGAAGAAGAAAGGGGUCCUAAAGUAACAACAUAUGUUUUUCCCAAAUUACAGACCUUGCACCUGAUCAAAUUACCGGAACUGAAAAGCAUUUGUACUAGUGGAGUUAUGGUUCCUGCAAACUCUCUCCAAUUUCUUUCAAUAAUAAAUUGUCUAAAGCUCAAGAAGAUCCCUUUCUCCAUACCCCGGCUUGAAACUGGGCAACCAACUCCUCCUCCUCUCGAGCAUGGCUAUGUUCAUCCAAGAAAAUGGUGGGAAUUAGUGGAAUUUGAUGAUCCUGAUGCUAAGGAUGUCCUUUCACAAGUUGUUUUAGAAUUUUCUUCAGAAGAGGAUGAAGAGUAAGAGGCUGAUGAUGGCAAUGAUAGGCUAAAGAUGAGCCUAAGAAGAGGAUGGCUGUUAUCUCAAAGCAGAAUUGACCUUGCCAUUGUUGCUGGGAUGGUGAUAAUUGACUGUUACCUUUACAAACUCUGGAGAAACCUACAAGAGAAAGAAACCAUGGGAGAAGCUGAGCAGAACGUUGUAGGCAAUAAGGAAAACACAGAGGUUCGACUUGUUUGACCUAUCCUCUAUAGCUAAAGUCACCAAUAUACAAGAAGCUUGGAUAAGGUGGAUUCGGACGUAUGUACAAGGAAAACCCUUUUGCAAUCUUUACUUUUAACCUUUCAAGGUACAUUAUCAGAUGGAUGACAAAUUGCUGUGUAUAGGCUUUGAAGGAGUUCUUGACAAGGAUUGUAUGUGCUAUGAAAUGAUGUGAAAUUGAUUGCCAAGCUUCAGCAGCGUAAUCCUGUAAAGCCUCUUGGUCGUUGCAUAACAAGGAGCGGAGAAAAUGCUAAUUUACAAGAUUUGUUCAUAUUUGAUCUGGAAUCUGGUCACUUGAAUUGUAUGUCUUCUGUAGUUCUAAUGUUCGAAGGCUUUCAUCAGAAGCACUAUCCAAAUUCACUUGAAUUGUAAGUCAUCUGGAUAUGUUCUUGACAGAGGCUUUCAUGAGAAGAAAAUCUUCUUUUUGAGAUUCAAAUUCAGUUUCUGCAUAUGAUUCAACUAA
Non-coding RNA from Theobroma cacao (cacao), 4055 nucleotides. The record is from RefSeq and is a predicted model, not a curated record. NCBI's taxonomy places the organism in Eukaryota, Viridiplantae, Streptophyta, Magnoliopsida, Malvales, Malvaceae.